Colossoma macropomum (tambaqui) is the source of this 946-nucleotide long non-coding RNA. RefSeq lists it as uncharacterized. NCBI's taxonomy places the organism in Eukaryota, Metazoa, Chordata, Actinopteri, Characiformes, Serrasalmidae. The record is from RefSeq and is a predicted model, not a curated record. The transcript is spliced from 3 exons.
GACAUUUGAGGUUUGCUCAUACUUUUUUUACUUGUUUAUUUGUUGUGUGUGUUUCACAGCUUUGAAGUGGAGCCUGGAAGCACUGAGAGAGGGGAAUGCAAGUAAGACUUACAUGUUGAAAAGAAAAUUCAUUUUUCAAAUCCUUUAUUAGAAAGCUUUAUGAGAUAUUUCUGCAUAAACCUCAAAAAUACACAUAUGCCAAUCUAACAAAAUGGGUUUGUGGCCAGGUGUAACAUGAGGAUCAUGUAGGUUGUUUGCAGGAGUGAACUGGUUUCAUUUGGGGCAGUCCAACACUCACAAUAAGAAAAAGAGGCAGAUCCAUAAGAGGCAGAUCUAUAUUGGAAAACCAGAAAGACAAGGCAAAGGUCAAAACAGUGGAAAUACCAACACAAAGUAACACGGCCUGGAGCUCAGUAGAGAAACGGGCACUUCACAAACAUACAGACGUUCGGAAGGUGGCGUUCUUAUUUGGUUCAGGCUUAAAUGGUGUCUUUGGGCCUUUCAAUGUUGAAACCACACUGAUUUUCAGAAAACAAAUCACAAAUGUUGGGAACGCCUACAGUCCAAUCACAGGUGUUUUCACUGCUCCACUCAGAGGAGUCUAUUACUUCAGGUUUAAUGUAUUUGGUAGCAACUCAUACUGGAUGACUAUAGACUUGUAUAAAAAUCAAGAGCGAAUCAUAACUGCAGCUGAAUAUCCAGGGGGGCAGCAUGAAUACUCUGUUGGUGGUGCCACUCUGCUGCUGCAGAAAGGAGAUCUUGUGUAUCUUAAGCUCCGCGCUACCUGUCAAAUUUAUGACAGUGCUGACAACCAUUCCACUUUCACCGGCUUUCUGCUGUUUCCCAUGUGAAGUGCUUUAAUCACUGGAAAAAAGCAAUCAGUUUGCUGCAUUUGUGUAAAACUUCCCAUGCAAAAAAAAACAAGAAAUAAAAAUAUAUCAUGCUG